RNAcentral lists this ribosomal RNA (2919 nucleotides) under Klebsiella pneumoniae. RNAcentral's name for it is "23S ribosomal RNA". It matches the Rfam family "Bacterial large subunit ribosomal RNA". The record is from RNAcentral. Lineage: Bacteria; Pseudomonadati; Pseudomonadota; Gammaproteobacteria; Enterobacterales; Enterobacteriaceae.
GGGUUGUGAGGUUAAGCGACUAAGCGUACACGGUGGAUGCCCUGGCAGUCAGAGGCGAUGAAGGACGUGCUAAUCUGCGAAAAGCGUCGGUAAGGUGAUAUGAACCGUUACAGCCGGCGAUGUCCGAAUGGGGAAACCCAGUGUGAUUCGUCACACUAUCGUUAACUGAAUACAUAGGUUAACGAGGCGAACCGGGGGAACUGAAACAUCUAAGUACCCCGAGGAAAAGAAAUCAACCGAGAUUCCCCCAGUAGCGGCGAGCGAACGGGGAGCAGCCCAGAGUCUGAAUCAGCUUGUGUGUUAGUGGAACGGUCUGGAAAGUCCGACGGUACAGGGUGAUAGUCCCGUACACCAAAAUGCACAGGCUGUGAACUCGAAGAGUAGGGCGGGACACGUGGUAUCCUGUCUGAAUAUGGGGGGACCAUCCUCCAAGGCUAAAUACUCCUGACUGACCGAUAGUGAACCAGUACCGUGAGGGAAAGGCGAAAAGAACCCCGGCGAGGGGAGUGAAAAAGAACCUGAAACCGUGUACGUACAAGCAGUGGGAGCACCUUCGGGUGUGACUGCGUACCUUUGUAUAAUGGGUCAGCGACUUAUAUUCUGUAGCAAGGUUAACCGUAUAGGGGAGCCGCAGGGAAACCGAGUCUUAACUGGGCGUUAAGUUGCAGGGUAUAGACCCGAAACCCGGUGAUCUAGCCAUGGGCAGGUUGAAGGUUGGGUAACACUAACUGGAGGACCGAACCGACUAAUGUUGAAAAAUUAGCGGAUGACUUGUGGCUGGGGGUGAAAGGCCAAUCAAACCGGGAGAUAGCUGGUUCUCCCCGAAAGCUAUUUAGGUAGCGCCUCGUGAAUUCAUCUUCGGGGGUAGAGCACUGUUUCGGCUAGGGGGUCAUCCCGACUUACCAACCCGAUGCAAACUACGAAUACCGAAGAAUGUUAUCACGGGAGACACACGGCGGGUGCUAACGUCCGUCGUGAAGAGGGAAACAACCCAGACCGCCAGCUAAGGUCCCAAAGUCAUGGUUAAGUGGGAAACGAUGUGGGAAGGCACAGACAGCCGGAUGUUGGCUUAGAAGCAGCCAUCAUUUAAAGAAAGCGUAAUAGCUCACUGGUCGAGUCGGCCUGCGCGGAAGAUGUAACGGGGCUAAACCAUGCACCGAAGCUGCGGCAGCGACACUAUGUGUUGUUGGGUAGGGGAGCGUUCUGUAAGCCUGCGAAGGUGACCUGUGAGGGUUGCUGGAGGUAUCAGAAGUGCGAAUGCUGACAUAAGUAACGAUAAAGCGGGUGAAAAGCCCGCUCGCCGGAAGACCAAGGGUUCCUGUCCAACGUUAAUCGGGGCAGGGUGAGUCGACCCUAAGGCGAGGCCGAAAGGCGUAGUCGAUGGGAAACAGGUUAAUAUUCCUGUACUUGGUGUUACUGCGAAGGGGGGACGGAGAAGGCUAUGUUAGCCGGGCGACGGUUGUCCCGGUUUAAGCAUGUAGGCUGAUUAUCCAGGCAAAUCCGGAUAAUCAAGGCUGAGGUGUGAUGACGAGGCACUACGGUGCUGAAGUAACAAAUGCCCUGCUUCCGGAAAAGCCUCUAAGCAUCAGGUAACAUCAAAUCGUACCCCAAACCGACACAGGUGGUCAGGUAGAGAAUACCAAGGCGCUUGAGAGAACUCGGGUGAAGGAACUAGGCAAAAUGGUGCCGUAACUUCGGGAGAAGGCACGCUGGUGUGUAGGUGAAGUCCCUGCGGAUGGAGCUGAGACCAGUCGAAGAUACCAGCUGGCUGCAACUGUUUAUUAAAAACACAGCACUGUGCAAACACGAAAGUGGACGUAUACGGUGUGACGCCUGCCCGGUGCCGGAAGGUUAAUUGAUGGGGUUAUCCGUAAGGAGAAGCUCUUGAUCGAAGCCCCGGUAAACGGCGGCCGUAACUAUAACGGUCCUAAGGUAGCGAAAUUCCUUGUCGGGUAAGUUCCGACCUGCACGAAUGGCGUAAUGAUGGCCAGGCUGUCUCCACCCGAGACUCAGUGAAAUUGAACUCGCUGUGAAGAUGCAGUGUACCCGCGGCAAGACGGAAAGACCCCGUGAACCUUUACUAUAGCUUGACACUGAACAUUGAGCCUUGAUGUGUAGGAUAGGUGGGAGGCUUUGAAGCGUGGACGCCAGUCUGCGUGGAGCCAACCUUGAAAUACCACCCUUUAAUGUUUGAUGUUCUAACGUUGGCCCCUGACCGGGGUUGCGGACAGUGUCUGGUGGGUAGUUUGACUGGGGCGGUCUCCUCCCAAAGCGUAACGGAGGAGCACGAAGGUUAGCUAAUCCUGGUCGGACAUCAGGAGGUUAGUGCAAUGGCAUAAGCUAGCUUGACUGCGAGCGUGACGGCGCGAGCAGGUGCGAAAGCAGGUCAUAGUGAUCCGGUGGUUCUGAAUGGAAGGGCCAUCGCUCAACGGAUAAAAGGUACUCCGGGGAUAACAGGCUGAUACCGCCCAAGAGUUCAUAUCGACGGCGGUGUUUGGCACCUCGAUGUCGGCUCAUCACAUCCUGGGGCUGAAGUAGGUCCCAAGGGUAUGGCUGUUCGCCAUUUAAAGUGGUACGCGAGCUGGGUUUAGAACGUCGUGAGACAGUUCGGUCCCUAUCUGCCGUGGGCGCUGGAGAAUUGAGGGGGGCUGCUCCUAGUACGAGAGGACCGGAGUGGACGCAUCACUGGUGUUCGGGUUGUCAUGCCAAUGGCACUGCCCGGUAGCUAAAUGCGGAAGAGAUAAGUGCUGAAAGCAUCUAAGCACGAAACUUGCCCCGAGAUGAGUUCUCCCUGAGACUUUAAGUCUCCUGAAGGAACGUUAAAGACGAUGACGUUGAUAGGCCGGGUGUGUAAGCGCAGCGAUGCGUUGAGCUAACCGGUACUAAUGAACCGUGAGGCUUAACCUUACAACGCCGAAG